This 253-nucleotide ribosomal RNA is filed under the name uncultured bacterium. RNAcentral's name for it is "partial 16S ribosomal RNA". It matches the Rfam family "Bacterial small subunit ribosomal RNA", at positions 524 to 776 of the family's 1533-position model. The record is from RNAcentral.
UACAGAGGGGGCAAGCGUUGUUCGGAAUUACUGGGCGUAAAGGGCGCGUAGGCGGCCCGCUAAGUCGAACGUGAAAUCCCCGAGCUCAACUCGGGAACUGCGUCCGAUACUGGCGGGCUUGAAUCCGGGAGAGGGAUGCGGAAUUCCAGGUGUAGCGGUGAAAUGCGCAGAUAUCGGGAAGAACACCCGUGGCGAAGGCGGCUCUCUGGGACGGUACUGACGCUGAGACGCGAAAGCGUGGGGAGCGAACAGG